Molecule: ribosomal RNA, 506 nt
Filed under: uncultured bacterium
Lineage: Bacteria
Description: partial 16S ribosomal RNA
Rfam family: Bacterial small subunit ribosomal RNA
Source: RNAcentral
AUUGAACGCUGGCGGCAGGCCUAACACAUGCAAGUCGAGCGGUAGCACAGGAGAGCUUGCUCUCUGGGUGACGAGCGGCGGACGGGUGAGUAAUGUCUGGGAAACUGCCUGAUGGAGGGGGAUAACUACUGGAAACGGUAGCUAAUACCGCAUAACGUCGCAAGACCAAAGAGGGGGAUCUACGGGCCUCUUGCCAUCAGAUGUGCCCAGAUGGGAUUAGCUAGUAGGGGGGGUAACGGCUCACCUAGGCGACGAUCCCUAGCUGGUCUGGGAGGAUGACCAGCCACACUGGAACUGAGACACGGGCCAGACUCCUACGGGAGGCAGCAGUGGGGAAUAUUGCACAAUGGGCGCAAGCCUGAUGCAGCCAUGCCGCGUGUAUGAAGAAGGCCUUCGGGUUGUAAAGUACUUUCAGCGGGGAGGAAGGUGCUGAGGUUAAUAACCUCAGCAAUUGACGUUACCCGCAGAAGAAGCACCGGCUAACUCCGUGCCAGCAGCCGCGGUAA